AUUGAACGCUGGCGGCAGGCCUAACACAUGCAAGUCGAACGAGUGGCGGACGGGUGAGUAAUGUCUGGGAAACUGCCCGAUGGAGGGGGAUAACUACUGACAACGGUAGCUAAUACCGCAUACCAUCGGAUGUGCCCAGAUGGGAUUAGCUAGUAGGUGGGGUAACGGCGCACCUAGUCGACGAUCCCUAGCUGGUCUGAGAGGAUGACCAGCCACACUGGAACUGAGACACGGUCCAGACUCCUACGGGAGGAAGCAGUGGGGAAUAUUGCACAAUGGGCGCAAGCCUGAUGCAGCCAUGCCGAGUGUAUGAAGAAGGCCUUCGGGUUGUAAAGUACUUUCAGCGAGGAGGCGUUACUCGCAGAAGAAGCACCGGCUAACUCCGUGCCAGCAGCCGCGGUAAUUC
Molecule: ribosomal RNA, 406 nt
Filed under: uncultured bacterium
Lineage: Bacteria
Description: partial 16S ribosomal RNA
Rfam family: Bacterial small subunit ribosomal RNA
Source: RNAcentral